UGGGGAAUCUUGCGCAAUGGGCGAAAGCCUGACGCAGCGACGCCGCGUGUGGGAUGAAGGCCUUCGGGUCGUAAACCACUGUCGGGAGGGACGAAGCUCUGACGGUACCUCCAAAGGAAGCACCGGCUAACUCUGUGCCAGCAGCCGCGGUAAUACAGAGGGUGCGAGCGUUGUCCGGAAUCACUGGGCGUAAAGGGCGCGUAGGCGGCCUGGUAAGUAGGGGGUGAAAUUCUGCGGCUUAACCGCAGAGCUGCCUUCUAAACUGUCAGGCUUGAGCACGGUAGAGGCUGGUGGAAUUCCCGGUGUAGCGGUGGAAUGCGUAGAGAUCGGGAAGAACAUCGGUGGCGAAGGCGGCCAGCUGGGCCGUUGCUGACGCUGAGGCGCGAAAGCGUGGGGAGCAAACAG
This 405-nucleotide ribosomal RNA is filed under the name uncultured bacterium. RNAcentral describes it as "bacterial SSU rRNA". It matches the Rfam family "Bacterial small subunit ribosomal RNA", at positions 355 to 775 of the family's 1533-position model. The record is from RNAcentral.